This 1174-nucleotide long non-coding RNA is filed under the name Homo sapiens (human). RNAcentral describes it as "novel transcript". Lineage: Eukaryota; Metazoa; Chordata; Mammalia; Primates; Hominidae. The record is from RNAcentral.
AGAUUGAGGGUGAGGUUAGAGUGGCACAUGGCUCUGUACCCCAUUGGGUACCUCCAGCAGGCCGGGCACUGCAGCCCCUUGGCCUCCGGCACUCUGCGAGGGAACAUGCUGGCAUGAGUUUGCUGGUCCCGAUGGGGAAGAGUCAGGGAUCCCUGAGAGAGCCUGUCAGGAGGAGAGAAGGGACGCCGGGGUGAAAGGGAGGAAGGAGGUGGCAGAAGAGGCCUCGAGGAUGACGUGGGGCUGUAGAUGCAGGAGGCAGCUGGAGCCUGUGGCACUGGGGCAUGGCGGGCCUCAAGGAUUUCACUGCCACCCUUGCCGAGGAGGGUACCCUGAGAUCCCUGGCUUCUUCCUGCAUGAUCCCUAGGCUUCCUCCCAAGGAGCUGGUGGUCAGAAUUCCUCAGCAGGUGAACAGAAAGCCAGGAAAACAUCUUCCCAGGGACCUUGCCCAGCCCCAGGUGCAGCUGUUGUUCUGGAAAAUUACUGCACUGCAUUUCAGAAGCAUCUCUAAUCCCCAAAUCUGUCAUCGCCUUGCCCACCCUGGCCCAGCUUUUGUAAAAGGGCAAAGAGAAGAGCAGGUGAGAAUCAAUUCACAGAAUCGCAGCCGUUCUGCCCCCUUCAGCUUCCAGCUCGGGCUCGCCUGGGAGCUGAGCCGCACCGGCUCUCUCUUUUGUCUGAAACAAGCAGCAGGAUUGUUUUGCUCAGUGUUGUCAGAGUUGUUUUUAAACAGCCGCCCAUCGUGCUGCAGGGAGGGAGGGCGAGACACAUGUGGAUCAACAAUGAGAUGGGUCUUGGCCUCGGGACGGGAUGCCCGGGUCGGGGAGUGCAGCUUUGAUCUGGCAGGCCGGCCUGAAGAACAAAGCCGGUCUCCUGGUCCCUCCUCGGCUGUGCCCAGCUGCACUCACUCUGAAGCUGAAUCUUGGCAGUUGUGAUUCUUCUGCUGGCAAAACGGAGAUGGCAGGCCCCCUGGGUCUGGGCUGUUGAAUGCCACGCGGGCAGGGGGCCUCUCCUUCCCCCACUGGCACGGGCUGUUGGAAACCCGUCAGUUCGGACUCUGAGCUGUGCCCCCCAACAGACAACAUAAUAGGACCCAAAUCAGAUACUCGUGAGCCAGGCAGUGACUUGGGCUCGCUUUGAUUGGUGUGUGAGGCACAAAUAAACAGAAAAUGUCUAUAAA